Molecule: ribosomal RNA, 484 nt
Filed under: uncultured bacterium
Lineage: Bacteria
Description: partial 16S ribosomal RNA
Rfam family: Bacterial small subunit ribosomal RNA
Source: RNAcentral
AUUGAACGCUGGCGGCAGGCCUAACACAUGCAAGUCGAGCGGAUGAAGGGAGCUUGCUCCUGGAUUCAGCGGCGGACGGGUGAGUAAUGCCUAGGAAUCUGCCUGGUAGUGGGGGAUAACGUCCGGAAACGGGCGCUAGUACCGCAUACGUCCUGAGGGAGAAAGUGGGGGAUCUUCGGACCUCACGCUAUCAGAUGAGCCUAGGUCGGAUUAGCUAGUUGGUGGGGUAAAGGCCUACCAAGGCGACGAUCCGUAACUGGUCUGAGAGGAUGAUCAGUCACACUGGAACUGAGACACGGUCCAGACUCCUACGGGAGGCAGCAGUGGGGAAUAUUGGACAAUGGGCGAAAGCCUGAUCCAGCCAUGCCGCGUGUGUGAAGAAGGUCUUCGGAUUGUAAAGCACUUUAAGUUGGGAGGAAGGGCAGUAAGUUAAUACCUUGCUGUUUUGACGUUACCAACAGAAUAAGCACCGGCCAACUUCGUG